This is a long non-coding RNA of Zalophus californianus (California sea lion), 617 nucleotides long. RefSeq lists it as uncharacterized. The record is from RefSeq and is a predicted model, not a curated record. Lineage: Eukaryota; Metazoa; Chordata; Mammalia; Carnivora; Otariidae. The transcript is spliced from 4 exons.
ACACCGUUGGAGCCCCUGGAGCUGUCCCUUCGGGGAGAGCAGCUGAGUUGCAGCACGUCCUCUGGAUUCUCUGACAGGGAGCCCGGGAGCCCGGGAGCCCGGAAACGGGCCGAACGGUUAGGAACAACAGCCCUGGUCCAGGGAAGACGUGAGGAGCCCGCCCGGGAUGCAAACCAACGGGGCUGUCCCCGUGCCAACAGGUGGGAGAGACCCCGCGGGACUCGGCAGUUGACUGGAUUUGGAAAGGAAGGCAAUGGAGGGCGUAGAAUAUUAUAGAUUCGUUGUGCAUAAGGGGAAAUUGAGGCGUCAAGCGGUCAGGAGACCUGCCCAAUGUCAUAGAGCUACUACGUAGAGUCUGGAGAGAGCACAGAAUCCUGUGGCACAAAGGGGCGAAUCAGAUCAAUGGCUUCAUUGGACUGAUUUCAGUGAGUCAACCAGUCAACCAAGAGAUUUCAGAGAGUGCUAAAAUUUUGUCAGAAUUGGGGUCCAGCCCACAGAUACAGACUUAAAAACCAAAACUGUGAGUCAAAUGGAUCAGCACCACACUCCACCAGGGUGCUGAUGUCACAGGCCUCUGAGGAAGCUGCUUCCUUGGCAUCGCUCCUGCCGUCUAGUUU